AGGAAUGUAUAGCAAUUGCUACUUACAUCAUAAUGAUGCAAGAUCAACUAUGUUGAAUAAAGUUCUAGGUAGAAUUUUGAUAAUGACAUUAUAUGCCUAUGUGUCUUGACCAAUUACGUGCCAGCAGUCGCGGUAAUACGUAUAAGGCUAGCGUUAUUCAUGUUUAAUCGGUUUAAAGGGUACCUAGACGGCAGAUCAAGCUUAUGAAAAAAAAAGGACUAAUCUGCUAGAGUUACUUGUGAGGGGGCUAUAAAGUACUGCUGGUGUAGGGAUGAAAUACUAUGAUACCUGAUUUCUAAGGAGAAAGAAAAGUUAUGGCACAGGUAUAGGCGAAGGCAUCCCCUUAUGUGAUAACUGACGUUGAA
This 365-nucleotide ribosomal RNA is filed under the name Remototrachyna dodapetta. RNAcentral describes it as "SSU rRNA". It matches the Rfam family "Bacterial small subunit ribosomal RNA", at positions 357 to 750 of the family's 1533-position model. Lineage: Eukaryota; Fungi; Ascomycota; Lecanoromycetes; Lecanorales; Parmeliaceae. The record is from RNAcentral.